GCAGCCGUCACUCCAUCUUCACAUUUGUUCUUCGAAGACUUGGUUGCAGCCUCUGCAUCACCAGUGUCAGGACAGCCACCUCGUCGCUGCCGUCGUAACCACCGCUAGGUAAGUGAGUCGCCGUCGAAGUUCGUCUUCCUAGGCCGCGUGUUCUCCUGUCCUCAUUUUCUCCUUCACAGGACAACGUUCGAGGAACCUAGUUGCAGAGUCUCCCCUAUUGCUGUCGAGUUCAACCACCUUCUUGUCGCCGUCAUAGCUUCUAUAACCUAGGCACAUCCAACCAAGUUCUACAGUCCUGGCAAGCCGUUUCCUCUGUUUUACCGGCUGGAGGGUAUAUUUGGCAGGGAUAGAACCACGGGAGCAGCAGCAGUUAGUGGCUUGGAUGCGGAGAGGAUGGCUGACCAUAUCCAGCAAUCUUCCGCUGACCAAAGAAAGAAUGCCUAACUAAUUGCUGAUGUCAUUGUUGGUGUGAACGAGAAGUUUAAGGGCAGUGAGAAGCUUACAUAGUUGGGUUCGGUGAUGAUGAGGUGGUGAGGACAAUUUUGAAGUUUGCUGAGAGUCCGAAUAUGUAUGCACACUUCUGGGGCUUGUCAGAUUCACAGAUGAUUGGCCUUGUGUGUUCCAUUACUAUUGAUUGACACUUGUUAUGUGGAUUUGACUUAGGAAAUUAAGUUUUUCACUAUAGGGUUUUAGUAUUUUGUGAGAUGGUUAUAUUUAAGAUGAUUUAACGCACAAACUUAUAUUUGGUAUAUAUUUGGAUGGAUAUUUUGGUAUUGCCUUUAUUUUGGUCUGUAUUGAAUAAGUUUUGGUGGCUUAGUACAAUCUUUUUGGUAUUG
Non-coding RNA from Arachis ipaensis, 836 nucleotides. The record is from RefSeq and is a predicted model, not a curated record. NCBI's taxonomy places the organism in Eukaryota, Viridiplantae, Streptophyta, Magnoliopsida, Fabales, Fabaceae.